UUAAUCCCAGACCUCCAGUCAUUGGGCAGCUCCUCAGAGGCAAGAAGUCAACACCAUGGCAACCCGACAAGCCUAUCAAAUCACCGGCUGGCGUGACAGCAGCAACACUGCAGGCAGGAGUGGGCUGGGCGGAAGAGCAGAGUGGCCACCGCGCUCAGGAUGGAUACCAUCUCCAUAGAGUUCAUUCUUGACCUUACCUGAAAAAAUGGAAAAAUGACAAAUUUGAAAAACCAACAAGAAGAUAUAGAUUAAAAUACCUAAAACUAGGGGGUUUGAAACAGUUAUUCCUGAAUCAAAUGACAAGCAACUUUAUUUGAACUAUAUUUUUAUUUAAUAGAAAAAUUUACUAUAUAUUUUUACUUCAUAGGAAAAUUUCAAAUAAGUUCUAAUUAUCAUAUUCAUUUUCUGAUAGUUAUUUCAAUUUUCAAAAAACUAAAUAAAUUUAAAUUUUAUUGAUGUAAUUUUAACCUAAGUAUCUUAAGUCUCCAAUUAUCUCUUUCUUUUAUCUCAAAUGUUCACUUUUUUGUUAGUGGCUGUACACAUACACAAAUACACACACACACACAAAGAGUGAGAGAGGAGAGAGAUAAAAGCGAUCAAUGAUAUUUAUUUUUAUAACAUAAAACCUUUAUACACAUUUUCAAAACAUGUUAAUAUUCUACCUUAAUAUCUCUUUACAAAAAUAUAAAUUUAUUUUCUCCAUUUCUGCACAUACACACACACACACACAUACACAGACAGCCCUAUGCAAAUCUUUGUUAUGAGAAUGCUCUUCUUCCCUAAAGAAAUACAAAGAUGAACCAUAUAUGUGUGUAUGUAUAUAUAGAUUUUACAUUUGUAUUUUUCACAGAUAAUAGAUAUAUAAAAGUACUCUGUGUGUAAGAAGACUACUAUUAAUUUCUUUAAUAUGAUAUUCUGCUUAUAUGUUUUUUCUGUAAGUAUAUGGAAAUCAAAUAAAAUUAGGAUGUAAAUCCCAAUUAGCUAUUCAGUUUGUAUAUUUUUAGUUUAAUAAAAUUGCUUUAGAAUUUGGAUAGAUGUGCUAACAAAUAUUGUAAAACAUUUCUAUUUUAUGACAAAUUAAUGACAAUACUUUCAUUGUUAAAUAUGUAAAAUUAGGACUACAUAAAGUGUUUAUAUGUUUUAAAAGCUACAUAAUUAAAUGGAAGACAAUGUAGUAAUCACCUUAAUUUGUUCAUAUUCACUCUAAUUAUAAAAACAAAAUGUGUCCUGAUAAAAUGUCAUGUGAAUGUGUGUGUGUGUAUUUUGUUUUCAUAGAUUACAAAUCAUUUAAAAAGGAUAAUGUCUCAAAGAAUGCAAUACUGCUGCUAUUAAAGUUCACUGCUGAUGUAAAAUGUUUCUUCUGACUAGGUUAUACUCAUCCAUAUAUUUAUGGAAAAGAAAUUUAUUUGAAAUUUCUGCAUUCAGUCCAGAAUGAUUAGCUGCAAAAAUUAAUAUAAUGAAAUGAUAUGCAUCUGUUUUUAGUAUCAGCUUGGUAAUCUAUAGAGAUAGUCAGUAUAGGUCUUUAAUAUUAAACUUUAAAUGCCUCCUCAAUAUGAAUAUUCAUAAGGUUUAUAAUAAUUAUAAUUUAGAAUCAUGUUUCCUCUACAGGUGGGUCUUAACAGACUGACAUAACAAAAAUUAACUUUAUUUACCGUUUACAAAGGUAAUCGAAGCCAAAUAAUUUUGGAAAACUUAGCUUCUUUUAGAAGUUAUUAUGGAACGUGACUCAGAAUUUUAUGUUUUGAGAUGAUGGAAAUAACAUUUACUUGCAUGUAACUGUGCUAUUGUUAAUUUAAAAAGAUUUUGGAGAAAAAUAUUAACACCUUUGUUCACCUGAAACUUAUAUUUUACUAUUUUGUUGCUGUUGGUUUUAAUUUGUGCUCAUUGCUUGUGCUUAAAUUUUCUUCAUUAAGAGUGUUUUCUUAUGUUUAAGUUAAUAUGUAAGCAUCCAAUUUUACUAAAUAUAAGAGUGUCACAUGAUAUAUGAACUAGUCUGAAACUUUAAUAAUUGAGUUGGUGGAAAUAUACUUAAUAUAUAAAUACAUGGUAAUCAAAGAACGUUUUAAGCUGGAAAUGCCCAGUAAUAUUUGUGUAUCUCAGUUGGGGCUGGAAUUUAUUGUGGAUUACCUGCAUACAUGCAUAGACACAGUGAUACCUAAAUACUAUCAGACUUAGGUUAUGGAUUUCUUUUAAAAGGUAAAAUGCUGUCA
Tupaia belangeri chinensis (Chinese tree shrew) is the source of this 2210-nucleotide long non-coding RNA. RefSeq lists it as uncharacterized. Lineage: Eukaryota; Metazoa; Chordata; Mammalia; Scandentia; Tupaiidae. The record is from RefSeq and is a predicted model, not a curated record. The transcript has 3 exons.